This 322-nucleotide ribosomal RNA is filed under the name uncultured eukaryote. RNAcentral's name for it is "partial 18S ribosomal RNA". It matches the Rfam family "Eukaryotic small subunit ribosomal RNA", at positions 1470 to 1796 of the family's 1831-position model. The record is from RNAcentral.
CCCUUAGAUGUCCUGGGCCGCACGCGCGCUACACUGACAUGUUCAACAAGUUUCUCCUAGUUCGACAGGACUGGGAAAUCUUUGAACGCAUGUCGUGAUAGGGAUAGAUCAUUGCAAUUAUUGAUCUUGAACGAGGAAUUCCUAGUAAACGCGAGUCAUCAGCUCGCAUUGAUUACGUCCCUGCCCUUUGUACACACCGCCCGUCGCACCUGCCGAUUGAAUGUUUCGGUGAAGAUUCCGGAUAGGACUGAUUUGAUUUAUUUCAUUUCCGACCUAAAAGCUAUCUAAACCUCAACAUUUAGAGGAAGGUGAAGUCGUAACA